Molecule: ribosomal RNA, 1441 nt
Filed under: Arthrorhabdus formosus
Lineage: Eukaryota; Metazoa; Arthropoda; Chilopoda; Scolopendromorpha; Scolopendridae
Description: eukaryotic LSU rRNA
Rfam family: Eukaryotic large subunit ribosomal RNA
Source: RNAcentral
CCAAGGAGUCUAACAUGUGCGCGAGUCGCAGGGUUGCUCGCUGUGAGACAUCGAAAGAACCCGAAGGCGCAAUGAAAGUGAAGGUCAGAAGAACUAGCUGACCUAGGCGGGAUCCUUCCCGAGGCGUCGCCGCAUGACCCACUGUGGCUGCGGGAGCCCGGAGGCGCACCGCCGGCCCGUCUCGACCGCUUUACUGUCGGCGAGGCGGANCAAGAGCGCACACGUUGGGACCCGAAAGAUGGUGAACUAUGCUCGGGCAGGACGAAGCCAGAGGAAACUCUGGUGGAGGUCCGUAGCGAUUCUGACGUGCAAAUCGAUCGUCAGACCCGUGUAUAGGGGCGAAAGACUAAUCGAACCGUCUAGUAGCUGGUUCCCUCCGAAGUUUCCCUCAGGAUAGCUGCCACUCGGUGAGGAACGCAGUCUCAUCCGGUAAAGCGAAUGAUUAGAGGCCUUGGGGCCGAAACGACCUCAACCUAUUCUCAAACUUUCAAUGGGUGAGAAGUCCGGAUUGCCUUGACUGAAGCCCGGAUACAUGCGAGGGGGUCUGCGGACCUUGCUCGGUUUGUUUGCGUGAGGAUGCGAGUGGCAAGUGGGCCAUUUUUGGUAAGCAGAACUGGCGCUGUGGGAUGAACCAAACGCCGGGUUAAGGCGCCCGAUGCGGACGCUCAUCAGACCCCAUGAAAGGUGUUGGUUGCUAUAGACAGCAGGACGGUGGCCAUGGAAGUCGGAAUCCGCUAAGGAGUGUGUAACAACUCACCUGCCGAAGCAACUAGCCCUGAAAAUGGAUGGCGCUCCAGCGUCGAGCCCAUACCCGGCCGCCGGGGCAGAGAUACGAAAUAUACCACUUACUCUUUGAAUUGCAUUGACUCUAGUACAUGUGAAAAAAUGCCCCGGCGAGUAGGAGGGUCGCGGCGGCGUGCGUUGAAGGUGUCGGGCGUAGGCCCGCCUGGAGCCGCCGUCGGUGCAGAUCUUGGUGGUAGUAGCAAAUACUCGAGUGAGAACCUUGAGGACUGAAGUGGAGAAGGGUUCCAUGUGAACAGCAGUUGAACAUGGGUCAGUCGGCCCUAAGGAAUAGGGGAAACCCGUUCCGAAAGUGGGGUGUCGUGGAAAAAUAUGCAGAACUGGCACGACAUGUGUAGCAACCCCAAGCUGACCGAAAGGGAAUCGGGUUAAUAUUCCCGAACCCGGAUGCGGAAGUCGGACCCUUCGGGGUCCAAUGCGGUAACGCAAACGAACUCGGAGACGUCGGCGGGAGCCCCGGGAAGAGUUGUCUUUUCUUUGUAAGGGACGGACUCCCUGGAAUCGGCUCGCCCGGAGAGAGGGAUGUUGUUCCCGUAAAGCACCGCGGCUCUUGCGGUGUCCGGAGCGCUCCCGCCGGCCCUUGAAAAUCCGAGGGAGAGAACUCGAUUUUCGCACCGGACCGUACCCAUAUCCGCAGCAG